Molecule: ribosomal RNA, 2929 nt
Filed under: Yersinia pestis
Lineage: Bacteria; Pseudomonadati; Pseudomonadota; Gammaproteobacteria; Enterobacterales; Yersiniaceae
Description: bacterial LSU rRNA
Rfam family: Bacterial large subunit ribosomal RNA
Source: RNAcentral
GGGUUGUGAGGUUAAGCGACUAAGCGUACACGGUGGAUGCCUAGGCAGUCAGAGGCGAUGAAGGGCGUGCUAAUCUGCGAAAAGCGUCGGUAAGCUGAUAUGAAGCGUUAUAACCGACGAUACCCGAAUGGGGAAACCCAGUGCAAUACGUUGCACUAUCGUUAGAUGAAUACAUAGUCUAACGAGGCGAACCGGGGGAACUGAAACAUCUAAGUACCCCGAGGAAAAGAAAUCAACCGAGAUUCCCCCAGUAGCGGCGAGCGAACGGGGAGGAGCCCAGAGUCUGAAUCAGUUUGUGUGUUAGUGGAAGCGUCUGGAAAGUCGCACGGUACAGGGUGAUAGUCCCGUACACCAAAAUGCACAGGCUGUGAACUCGAUGAGUAGGGCGGGACACGUGACAUCCUGUCUGAAUAUGGGGGGACCAUCCUCCAAGGCUAAAUACUCCUGACUGACCGAUAGUGAACCAGUACCGUGAGGGAAAGGCGAAAAGAACCCCGGCGAGGGGAGUGAAAUAGAACCUGAAACCGUGUACGUACAAGCAGUGGGAGCACCUUCGUGGUGUGACUGCGUACCUUUUGUAUAAUGGGUCAGCGACUUAUAUUUGUAGCAAGGUUAACCGAAUAGGGGAGCCGUAGGGAAACCGAGUCUUAACUGGGCGUCUAGUUGCAAGGUAUAGACCCGAAACCCGGUGAUCUAGCCAUGGGCAGGUUGAAGGUUGGGUAACACUAACUGGAGGACCGAACCGACUAAUGUUGAAAAAUUAGCGGAUGACUUGUGGCUGGGGGUGAAAGGCCAAUCAAACCGGGAGAUAGCUGGUUCUCCCCGAAAGCUAUUUAGGUAGCGCCUCGUGAACUCAUCUUCGGGGGUAGAGCACUGUUUCGGCUAGGGGCCAUCCCGGCUUACCAAACCGAUGCAAACUCCGAAUACCGAAGAAUGUUAUCACGGGAGACACACGGCGGGUGCUAACGUCCGUCGUGAAGAGGGAAACAACCCAGACCGCCAGCUAAGGUCCCAAAGUCAUGGUUAAGUGGGAAACGAUGUGGGAAGGCACAGACAGCCAGGAUGUUGGCUUAGAAGCAGCCAUCAUUUAAAGAAAGCGUAAUAGCUCACUGGUCGAGUCGGCCUGCGCGGAAGAUGUAACGGGGCUAAACCAUGCACCGAAGCUGCGGCAGCGACACUUAGGUGUUGUUGGGUAGGGGAGCGUUCUGUAAGCCGUUGAAGGUGACCUGUGAGGGUUGCUGGAGGUAUCAGAAGUGCGAAUGCUGACAUAAGUAACGAUAAUGCGGGUGAAAACCCGCACGCCGGAAGACCAAGGGUUCCUGUCCAACGUUAAUCGGGGCAGGGUGAGUCGACCCCUAAGGCGAGGCUGAAAAGCGUAGUCGAUGGGAAACAGGUUAAUAUUCCUGUACUUGGUGUUACUGCGAAGGGGGGACGGAGAAGGCUAGGCUGGCCGGGCGACGGUUGUCCCGGUUUAAGCGUGUAGGGGAGUGACCAGGUAAAUCCGGUUGCUUAUCAACCCUGAGGCGUGAUGACGAUGCACCACGGUGCAGAAGCAGUUGAUGCCAUGCUUCCAGGAAAAGCCUCUAAGCAUCAGGUAACAUUAAAUCGUACCCCAAACCGACACAGGUGGUCAGGUAGAGAAUACUCAGGCGCUUGAGAGAACUCGGGUGAAGGAACUAGGCAAAAUGGUGCCGUAACUUCGGGAGAAGGCACGCUGGCGUUAGGUGAAAGGACUAGCUCCUGGAGCUGAAGCCAGUCGCAGAUACCAGCUGGCUGCAACUGUUUAAUAAAAACACAGCACUGUGCAAACACGAAAGUGGACGUAUACAGUGUGACGCCUGCCCGGUGCUGGAAGGUUAAUUGAUGGGGUCAGCCGCAAGGCGAAGCUCUUGAUCGAAGCCCCAGUAAACGGCGGCCGUAACUAUAACGGUCCUAAGGUAGCGAAAUUCCUUGUCGGGUAAGUUCCGACCUGCACGAAUGGCGUAAUGAUGGCCAGGCUGUCUCCACCCGAGACUCAGUGAAAUUGAACUCGCUGUGAAGAUGCAGUGUACCCGCGGCAAGACGGAAAGACCCCGUGAACCUUUACUAUAGCUUGACACUGAACAUUGAGCCUUGAUGUGUAGGAUAGGUGGGAGGCCUUGAAGUGUGGACGCCAGUCUGCAUGGAGCCAACCUUGAAAUACCACCCUUUAAUGUUUGAUGUUCUAACUCGGCCCCAUGAUCUGGGGUGAGGACAGUGUCUGGUGGGUAGUUUGACUGGGGCGGUCUCCUCCCAAAGAGUAACGGAGGAGCACGAAGGUUAGCUAAUCACGGUCGGACAUCGUGAGGUUAGUGCAAAGGCAUAAGCUAGCUUGACUGCGAGAGUGACGGCUCGAGCAGGUACGAAAGUAGGUCUUAGUGAUCCGGUGGUUCUGAAUGGAAGGGCCAUCGCUCAACGGAUAAAAGGUACUCCGGGGAUAACAGGCUGAUACCGCCCAAGAGUUCAUAUCGACGGCGGUGUUUGGCACCUCGAUGUCGGCUCAUCACAUCCUGGGGCUGAAGUAGGUCCCAAGGGUAUGGCUGUUCGCCAUUUAAAGUGGUACGCGAGCUGGGUUUAGAACGUCGUGAGACAGUUCGGUCCCUAUCUGCCGUGGGCGUUGGAAGAUUGAGAGGGGCUGCUCCUAGUACGAGAGGACCGGAGUGGACGAAUCACUGGUGUUCGGGUUGUCAUGCCAAUGGCAUUGCCCGGUAGCUAAAUUCGGAAGAGAUAACCGCUGAAAGCAUCUAAGCGGGAAACUUGCCUCGAGAUGAGUCUUCCCUGGGGCUUAAAGCCCCUGAAGGAACGUUAAAGACUAUGACGUUGAUAGGCUGGGUGUGUAAGUGCAGCGAUGUAUUGAGCUAACCAGUACUAAUGAUCCGUGAGGCUUAACCUUACAACACCGAAGGUGUUU